AGUGAACGCUGGCGGUAGGCCUAACACAUGCCAGUCGAACGGCAGCACAGUAAGAGCUUGCUCUUACGGGUGGCGAGUGGCGGACGGGUGAGGAAUACAUCGGAAUCUACUUUUUCGUGGGGGAUAACGUAGGGAAACUUACGCUAAUACCGCAUACGACCUACGGGUGAAAGCAGGGGAUCUUCGGACCUUGCGCGAUUGAAUGAGCCGAUGUCGGAUUAGCUAGUUGGCGGGGUAAAGGCCCACCAAGGCGACGAUCCGUAGCUGGUCUGAGAGGAUGAUCAGCCACACUGGAACUGAGACACGGUCCAGACUCCUACGGGAGGCAGCAGUGGGGAAUAUUGGACAAUGGGCGCAAGCCUGGUCCAGCCAUACCGCGUGGGUGAAGAAGGCCUUCGGGUUGUAAAGCCCUUUUGUUGGGAAAGAAAAGCAGCAGGUUAAUACCCCGCUGUUCUGACGGUACCCAAAGAAUAAGCACCGGCUAACUUCGUG
RNAcentral lists this ribosomal RNA (492 nucleotides) under uncultured bacterium. Its description in RNAcentral is "partial 16S ribosomal RNA". It matches the Rfam family "Bacterial small subunit ribosomal RNA", at positions 29 to 507 of the family's 1533-position model. The record is from RNAcentral.